Molecule: ribosomal RNA, 520 nt
Filed under: uncultured Glomus
Lineage: Eukaryota; Fungi; Glomeromycota; Glomeromycetes; Glomerales; Glomeraceae
Description: SSU rRNA
Rfam family: Eukaryotic small subunit ribosomal RNA
Source: RNAcentral
AGCAGCCGCGGUAAUUCCAGCUCCAAUAGCGUAUAUUAAAGUUGUUGCAGUUAAAAAGCUCGUAGUUGAAUUUCGGGACCAAAUUGUCGGUCGUGCCUCGGUACGUACUGGCGUUAUUGGUUCCUCCCUUCUGAAGAACCAUGAUGUCAUUUAUUUGGUGUUGUGGGGAAUCAGGACUGUUACUUUGAAAAAAUUAGAGUGUUUAAAGCAGGCUCACGCUUGAAUACAUUAGCAUGGAAUAAUGAAAUAGGACGUUCGAUCCUAUUUUGUUGGUUUCUAGGAUUGACGUAAUGAUUAAUAGGGAUAGUUGGGGGCAUUAGUAUUCAAUUGUCAGAGGUGAAAUUCUUGGAUUUAUUGAAGACUAACUACUGCGAAAGCAUUUGCCAAGGAUGUUUUCAUUAAUCAAGAACGAAAGUUAGGGGAUCGAAGACGAUCAGAUACCGUCGUAGUCUUAACCAUAAACUAUGCCGACUAGGGAUCGGAUGAUGUUAAUUUUUAAUGACUCAUUCGGCGCCUUACG